Non-coding RNA from Ictidomys tridecemlineatus (thirteen-lined ground squirrel), 928 nucleotides. The record is from RefSeq and is a predicted model, not a curated record. Lineage: Eukaryota; Metazoa; Chordata; Mammalia; Rodentia; Sciuridae.
GAAGCACGCUGAAGCUGGAUGGAGCUGAAUAGCCCCACGGCUGCCUUGGAGGACUUCUGAAGAGCAAGAAGGUGGCCAUCAGCAAGCCAGGAAGAGAGCCUUCUCCAGAACCCCACAUGCUAGCUUCCAGACCUCAGACUCUCCAGCCUCCAGAAGUGUGAGAUUCCAGUGUCUGUUGUUCCCAGGGUCCUGUGUGCGGUCCUUUGUUGGAGCAGCCCACCUGAGUUUGAGCAUUCCUUCCAUGGACUCUGCUUGGAUGCUCACAGGAUGCUGCCUCCACAACCCUAUGAAAAAAUCCAAGUGACUCCUAAUCAUCAAGUCCAAUUUGCUCCCUGUUCAGCCUGACUGCAUGGUCUUGCUUCCAUCCCUUGGGUCCUAAAGGCUAUGUUUCCAUGUUUCAUAUUUCCACCGAAACUUCACACAGAGACACGAAGCAGCCUUUCCUUCCCUCUCAGGAAUGAGGACAUGAAAAGAAGCAAGUAGGAAGCCUAACUGGAGAAGCCACAAUCUGGACCAUUAAGAGUUGUUUUGGGUUUGGAACCAAAACACAGAUGUCUUGUAGAAAUGGCACAGAGGGGUGGUUACCUCUGGUGUUAAUCACAAGGAAGGGGACAAGGCCUGAGAAAGGAAAUGGAAAUCUAGAUGAAUCACUCUGGAUGUUAGAUUUCCUUCCUAAAACUUCAAAAAAAAAAUUAAGUAUAUCUGAGGAUGCUCCUAAGUGAAAGAUAAAGAAACAACAGCUUCUGCUUCAGAGGCACACCUGUUACCUGGGCAGCCCUUUGGGCAGAACCGGGCAUACCUGAAAAAAGAAUAAGCUCAUCCCUUGAAACAAAUUAUCUGACUCUAGGGCUAGCAAACAACUAUGGCUCUCUGGCCAAAUCCAGACUGUUGUCUGUUUUUGUAAAUAAAGUUUUAUUAAAACAAACCA